GACGAACGCUGGCGGCGUGCUUAACACAUGCAAGUCGUACGGUAAGGCCCUUUCGGGGGUACACGAGUGGCGAACGGGUGAGUAACGCGUGAGUAACCUGCCCACAACUUUGGGAUAACGCUAGGAAACUGGUGCUAAUACUGGAUAUGUGCUCCUGCUGCAUGGUGGGGGUUGGAAAGCUCCGGCGGUUGUGGAUGGACUCGCGGCCUAUCAGCUUGUUGGUGGGGUAGUGGCCUACCAAGGCGGCGACGGGUAGCCGGCCUGAGAGGGUGACCGGCCACAUUGGGACUGAGAUACGGCCCAGACUCCUACGGGAGGCAGCAGUGGGGAAUAUUGCACAAUGGGCGCAAGCCUGAUGCAGCAACGCCGCGUGCGGGAUGACGGACUUCGGGUUGUAAACCGCUUUCAGCAGGGACGAAGCUUUUUGUGACGGUACCUGCAGAAGAAGCACCGGCUAACUACGUG
Molecule: ribosomal RNA, 465 nt
Filed under: uncultured bacterium
Lineage: Bacteria
Description: partial 16S ribosomal RNA
Rfam family: Bacterial small subunit ribosomal RNA
Source: RNAcentral